AAUUCCAGCUGAUCCUGCUGGCGGGUACUGCUAUGGGAAUGCGACUAAGACAUGCAAGUCUAAGAGUGCUAGCCAUGAAGCACUCUGGCGGACGGCUCAGUAACACGUGGACAAUCUACCCUAAGGAGGGGUUAAUCCCGGGAAACUGGGGCUAAUGCCACAUAGGUAAUAGGUACUGGAAUGUCCUAUUACCGAAAGGCUGCUGUUUCAUGCUACAGUAGCGCCUUAGGAUGAGUCUGCGGCGGAAUAGGUAGUUGGCGGGGUAACUGCCCACCAAGCCGAAGAUCCGUACGGGCCUUGGAAGAGGGAGCCCGGAGAAGGGCACUGAGAUAAGGGCCCUAGCUCUACGGAGUGCAGCAGUCGCGAAACCUUUACAAUGCGCGAAAGCGCGAUAAGGGUAUUCCCAGUGCCAGCUCUGCUGGCUUUUGUCGAGUUUAAAAAACUCGGCGAAUAAGUGGGGGGUAAGAUACGUGCCAGCCGCCGCGGUAACACGUACUCCACGAGUGGUACCCACUUAUAUUGAGCCUAAAACGCCUGUAGCUCGUCCGAAAAGUCGCUUGUGAAAUCGCUCUGCUCAACAGAGUGGCGCGCGGGCGAUACUAUCGGGCUCGAGGCCGGGAGGAGGCAGGGGUAUUUCCAGGGUAGUGGUGAAAUACGAAGAUCCUGGAAGGACCACCGGUAGCGAAGGCGCCUGCCUAGAACGGACCUGACGGUGAGAGACGAAAGCCAGGGGAGCGACCCGGAUUAGAUACCCGGUUAGUCCUGGCCGUAAACGAUGCAGACUUGGUGUUCCGACAGCGCAAGCUGCCGGGGUGCCGAAGGGAAGCCGUUAAGUCUGCUGCUUGGGAAGUAUAGCCGCAAGGCCGAAACUUGAUGGAAUUGGCGGGGGCGCACUACAAGGGGUGGAUGUUGCGGUUCAAUUGGACACAACGCCAGGCAACUCACCAGGGCCGACAGCAGAAUGAUGGUCAGUCUGA
Molecule: ribosomal RNA, 977 nt
Filed under: archaeon
Lineage: Archaea
Description: bacterial SSU rRNA
Rfam family: Archaeal small subunit ribosomal RNA
Source: RNAcentral